CUAGCAAAGAGGAAGGAACAGGGUUUUCCUGCAUUUCCUGGCACAAGCAGUGGUAUUUAGUUGGCCGUUGUAGCUUAAACCUUUCACCCUGGUUCACUGUUUGCACUGUUAUGACGUUAUUUGCAGUGUUACCAACAACAGGCAGAGCUUUUAGCACAGACAGCUGUUUAACUUAGAAGCAAAACAGUUUGGGCUUUUACACGGAAGCAGGCAAAAAUAGCUUUCACCAACCAAGACGUGUUUGAAAAAUGUGAUGAAGCUGCUAGCCACGGGCUGCACAGCCUGCUCUGACCUGCUGCAUCCUUCCUCCAGCUUACCAGCCUGCAGUAGCUACUGGCACUUGUGCUUGGGUGCUGCCACUCCUGAGAUCAACAGUUCCAAGUUUGUGUUCAUGCUAACGUGAAGGAAUUCAUGAUUCUUCAGCGGACCUGACAUGGGUUUCUGAGGCUCUGAAACAGGAUGACCAACCACACAGACAACUGGCAUUCAUUAGAGUAUUCUGUUCUCUUGAUGCCAAACAAAAUGUCUUCUGAGAAUUCCAGGCAAUCAUUAAGAUUAAAUGGAACAAUGAAGCUAAAUUAAUGAAGUUUAUCGGUCAGAUGACUCAGAAUAUUAUUAUGAGACUUACAGAGUACACUUGAAUGAUGUAGAGAGUUUUCAUUUUGUAGCAGAAACUGGAUCUUCAUAUAUGAUAAGUCAACAUACUUGCACCUGUUGAAGCUCUUUCAACAUCCCUAGUGAAAUCAAAAGUUUGUAAUUUGCUGGUCAGAAAGAAGUACACAUGGAACUAAUUAUUGUUCUACAUUCAUUUGCAACUGGGCAGAUGUGUUCUAGUGUAAAGCAACCAAUGGAAAUGCUUCCAUUCAAUGCUAUCAUUUUGAUGAGAGUAGAGUUUGGAAAAUGAGCUCCUUUGGCACAGUGGUAAAUGGUUUUCCAGAUCAAACUCUAGGCAGAGGUAUAGGUAACAAAUAUUCUUUCACCUUAGCAAUCUUCAUAGGAUAUCCUCUUUAUUUAAAUAUAUUUUUAUAUAUAUCUACACAAUAGUGAUAAAAAUAGCAUGGUUCUCUUGUGGAUUCUUAUUUUCAGUUUAUCUGAAACUUAUCUGAGUUUUCCUCCUUCUUUUUAUUUGAAAAGUCCAGUUAUUUUAGAGCUGAAAGCAAAUCCCUCAAACUAAACAUCUUUAGCUCCAUCAAGUCUGGAGCUAGAGAGUGAAAUACUGAGGAAUGACAGCAAAACAUACUUGAAGCUUUGGAAUACUUGUCCUAAAAGUACAAGUCAAAGAUGCAAGAUUGAAGGACAUUGCUCAAGAAAACUUCUCUCCUGCUGUGGCUUUUGGUGAACCUUGCAAUUAUUUUGUAUACUUGUAUUGCCUAAGGGACAAAUGAGGUCCGUGUCUUGUUGCAGU
RNAcentral lists this long non-coding RNA (1405 nucleotides) under Anas platyrhynchos platyrhynchos (common mallard). Its description in RNAcentral is "lncRNA (ENSAPLG00000029210.1)". The record is from RNAcentral. Lineage: Eukaryota; Metazoa; Chordata; Aves; Anseriformes; Anatidae.